RNAcentral lists this ribosomal RNA (442 nucleotides) under uncultured bacterium. RNAcentral describes it as "partial 16S ribosomal RNA". It matches the Rfam family "Bacterial small subunit ribosomal RNA", at positions 338 to 795 of the family's 1533-position model. The record is from RNAcentral.
CCUACGGGUGGCAGCAGUGGGGAAUAUUGGGCAAUGGACGCAAGUCUGACCCAGCAACGCCGCGUGAAGGAAGAAGGCUUUCGGGUUGUAAACUUCUUUUAAGGGGGAAGAGCAGAAGACGUUACCACUUGAAUAAGCCACGGCUAACUUCGUGCCAGCAGCCGCGGUAAUACGUAGGUGGCAACCGUUGUACGGAUUUACUGGGGGUAAAGGGCGUGCAUCCGGGGAGACAAGUCAGAUGUGAAAUCCACGGGCUUAAACCGUGGACCGCAUUGGAAACUAUUUACCUAGAGUGUCGGAGAGGUAAGUGGAAUUCCAUGUGAAGCGGUGAAAUGCGUAGAUAUAAGGAAGAACACCAGAGGCGAAGGCGGAUUACUGGAUGAAAACUGACGGUGAGGGGCGAAAGCGUGGGGAGCAAACAGGAUUAGAUACCCGUGUAGUC